GACGAACGCUGGCGGCGUGCUUAACACAUGCAAGUCGAGCGGAGCGGCGAACGGGUGAGUAACGCGUGAGUAACUGCCCCCCUCCCUGGGAUAACAGUUGGAAACGGGUGCUAAUACCGGAUAGUGGGCGAUGACUCGCGUACUAUCAGCUUGUUGGUGGGGUAGUGGCCUACCAAGGCGACGACGGGAAGCCGGCCUGAGAGGGCGACCGGCCACAUUGGGCGGGGAGACGGCCCGGGCUCCUACGGGAGGCAGCAGUGGGGAAUAUUGAGCAAUGGGCGCAAGGCUGACCCAGCAACGCCGCGUGAAGGAAGACGGUCUUCGGAUGGAAAGCUUCUUUAGGAAGGGUCGCGGUACCUGUAGAAUAAGCCACGGCUAACUACGUGCCAGCAGCCGCGGUAAUAC
Molecule: ribosomal RNA, 405 nt
Filed under: uncultured bacterium
Lineage: Bacteria
Description: partial 16S ribosomal RNA
Rfam family: Bacterial small subunit ribosomal RNA
Source: RNAcentral